Long non-coding RNA from Mastomys coucha (southern multimammate mouse), 465 nucleotides. RefSeq lists it as uncharacterized. Lineage: Eukaryota; Metazoa; Chordata; Mammalia; Rodentia; Muridae. The transcript has 3 exons. The record is from RefSeq and is a predicted model, not a curated record.
CCGACACGGAGGCAACACAUCCGGGAGAGAGGGGCUUUCUGCAGAUUUCCGUCAGCCCACCACUCGGGAUCUGUAUAAAGAAGGAAAGCCAUGCCAUGAAGAUUGCACAGGCAUUGUGAGUUACCUUUUGUAUGGCUAAGAGAGACAGUACUGCGAUACGUCAUCGCUAAGAGACAUCAAGGUCAACAUUAAGAACUUUGCUCAGGUCCUGGAGAUAAAGCUCAAGUACUCAUGCUUAUGCCAGCGAGCCAUCUCUCCAGCUCUGAUUCUGUAUGAUCUUGAUGAAGCAAGCUCUCACUGGAGAAUAAAUCCUCAGACCUGUCGUAGCCUUGGGCAUCCAAGAAUGUGCCUGAAAUCCCAGCAUGGAAGAGGCUGAGGUAGGAAGAUCACAAAUUGAAGGCUGACCUGACCAUGUCUCUAAACAAAUAAAUAAACAAAGCAAAACAAAAGAAAAACAACACAUAA